Ailuropoda melanoleuca (giant panda) is the source of this 844-nucleotide long non-coding RNA. RefSeq lists it as uncharacterized. The record is from RefSeq and is a predicted model, not a curated record. NCBI's taxonomy places the organism in Eukaryota, Metazoa, Chordata, Mammalia, Carnivora, Ursidae. The transcript has 3 exons.
GCAGCCCUCGGUGUUCCUGGGGGCAGAGAGCAGGGCUUACAGCAGCAGCCAGACUCUCAGCCAGGCGGCCCAGCAGGCCCCGCUUCUCCAGCACCGGGAGUGCCCCCUGAACAGUCCUCACCCAGGGCUAAAGGUGGAGGGCUGACCCCAUGACAAAGCUGACAAGCCUCCGAAGCUUCUGACUAAGCUACAGAAUUACUUACUAGUUUGGAAAGCAGUAUUUGGGAAUCUGAUCACCAGCAAAACCAGCUUUAAUCACACCGGAUCCCUGAGGAGAGAGGAGAGAGAAGGAGAAGUCAGAAGUACGACAAAAACAAGAGAUACAUCAUACACUCAGGCCUGAACUCUCCCCACCCUCCAGAGUCUCCACGACCAACACCGUCGUGAACACUGCCAUGCUUGAAACUGACUGAUGGAACAUACGUCGUCUGGUUCUUACUGCAGGGGCAAACCUCUCUGCUUGUUUCGGGGGGUUGUAGUUGUUUUAUUUUUUUACUAUGCUUUCUUUUACUCACUGGUCUCCUGAUGGUAAAGAGCAGAGAAGUUCUAAAGCAUCACCUGAGAAGAGACCCAACAUUACAAUCCUGUUGCUCUGAUCCUUGGUAAGUCCGGUGGGGUGCCAGAAGAGAACCUGACUUCUCUGUCAACAUCUCGGGUACCACCUAAGGCCCAACCAAAGUAAAUGGUGUCUCUAGACACAGAUGCCAACUCUGUGCAGGACAGAUGUCAAGGCUUGAUACUGCUUGCAGACAGAGCCUGUUCUCUUCCUUCUUAACUCUUCUACCACCGUACCCGAUACGCUCACCCUUCUACCCCAGCACCGUUUGCUGCACAUAUAAUAGGG